Molecule: ribosomal RNA, 207 nt
Filed under: uncultured bacterium
Lineage: Bacteria
Description: partial 16S ribosomal RNA
Rfam family: Bacterial small subunit ribosomal RNA
Source: RNAcentral
CGCGUAGGCGGACUUUCAAGUCGGAUGUGAAAUCUCCGGGCUCAACUCGGAGCCUGCAUCCGAUACUGUUGGUCUUGAGUAUAUCAGAGGAAAGCGGAAUUCCAGGUGUAGCGGUGAAAUGCGUAGAUAUCUGGAAGAACACCAGUAGCGAAGGCGGCUUUCUGGGGUAAUACUGACGCUGAAGCGCGAAGGCUAGGGGAGCAAACA